Molecule: long non-coding RNA, 557 nt
Filed under: Carica papaya (papaya)
Lineage: Eukaryota; Viridiplantae; Streptophyta; Magnoliopsida; Brassicales; Caricaceae
Description: long non-coding RNA (CPAP_LNC007797)
Source: RNAcentral
AUCCGUGGGAGAGAGGGGAGGUCGUGUGAGGAGAGUGUGAACACUAAGGGAAGGUCACUGAAAGGAAGAGUGAGUAAGAAAUUUGGCGUGUGUGGGGGAUCCGAGAUGAUGAAGGGAAUGGUGUGCGGGAGCAGGAGUGCAGAGGAAGUCGCGAGCGGAAGGAGCAGGAAGAAUAACUUCGAUGAGUGUCCAGUGAGAGGGGUGAGUGUGGUGAGUGUGACAGUAAGAGUCCGGACUGUGCGAGGGAGGGGACCAUGGAAUAGGAAUCGAUAUGUAUGAGGAGUUUCGGGUGAGGGAAGAGGCGUAUGAAACAGUAGGGAGAGGUAGGUUUAGAAGGGGAUGAGAAUGUAGUUGCUGGAGAUGGGGAUGGCACAUGAGGGGAUUGUAGAGUAUGGUUUAGGGUGGGAGAGUAGGGGCGAGUUGGUAGUGGUGUAGCAGGAGUGUGGUGAGGGGAGAUAGGUCGGUAUAGUUGCUAUAAAUUUAAAGGUUGGCGAGGAAACAUCACCAGUGUAUGCGUGAAGUUUUGGUGUGUGUGGCCUAAUAAGGUCGAGAGGUAG